Molecule: long non-coding RNA, 3619 nt
Organism: Corvus moneduloides (New Caledonian crow)
Lineage: Eukaryota; Metazoa; Chordata; Aves; Passeriformes; Corvidae
Source: Ensembl
GAGAGGCAGCACUGCCCUGUCCCCGUAUCGCUGCCCUCGCACGGCACCCGGGUGCCUCCUGCCGACGGGCCGCUCCCGGGCCCGACCGCGGGCUGCAGCCCCGCGCCCAAGCUGCUGGCGCGGCCUCCCGGCGCCCGCACGGGUCAUUCCCCGCAGUCCGGCCCGGGGUGUGCGGGGCCCGGGGUGUGCGGGGCCCGGGGUGUGCGGGGCUGAGGUGCGGGCCCGCAGUGGCACCUGCUGUCGGGGCCGGGCAGCGCCGGGGUCUGAGCGCCGUUUGCCCAGGAUACGGCACCGUUUAGCGCGCUCUACCCAUCCCACCCGACGGGAUUUCGGCUGGAUUGCGAACCCUUCCAGCGGGAGUUCUGCCUGCCUGAGCACCUUGGCCCAUUAACCAAAAGGACAAAUUUCUGCAGAGACACCUUCCCAGAGGCUCAGCAGACGGCUGUGCAGCACUCACUGGGGUGGUCUCCUUGGAGCCCUCAUUCAGAACUGUUAAAACCAGCAGACAUUCAAAGUAGACCAAGACUGGGAAUGCUAAAUGUUGCACACUCAAAACCAUAUGAGCAAAGCGUUUGUUUGCCCUCAAACCUAGGGAACAGCCUACUAACACAGGUGAUGGAUGAUGAAGGAUGGGGUGCAGGAACUGGAGCUUGCUGGGAGUCUGGGAAGGACCAAGGGUCUCUGUGUGAUGAGUUCUUUGCCUCUUGGGUGCUGCAGGGGGUGGCCUCCCUUCUUCCCCAUUUCAUGCAAGGGAGGGUGGGAUGCUGGGUAAGGAUGUAAGAGGGGAUAAGGAACAUGUUAAUGGGCAUCUUCCAAAGACAGAUUUCAUUUGCUUUGAAGAUCUGUGCUUUCUUUUCUGUUAAGACAUAUGGAAAUUGAGUGCAUUGUGGCCUACAAUCAUGUGGAUGUUGGUUUUUCUGUUAUGACUAAGGAUUCAAUACUGUGUAGCACCCUGUAAUGUGUAAUAGGGAAUCUUCAGUUUGCCACUGUAGACAAGUUUCUUUGAUUACUUUGUGACUAGUGCAAUUGGAAACAUAUUCCAAACACAAUGAUGGGAAGAAAGGGAGGCCUGUAUUUCCCUUAAGUGCUCUCCAUGUGAUCUGUCUGGAUCAUGUACCCAUGCAGUUUUCUGUGGUUCUUUUGCAUACAGCUGCCCCAAGUGAAGUAAAAGACUCUCAGCUUUCUUGACCUAAAAAGAGUUAUUCUUUCAAAGCAUGGGGUUUUCCAGGUUUGUAAUAAAAGUAUUGUUGUGUUCCUUAAAGGUAGAGCUUCUGCAAGUGCAGUUCAUAAACAACAGUGUCAUGGGAUGUUUUCAGAGCAGCUCAAGGUCUGCUCUACCUCCACAGAGAUCAUGAAAGUCUUGCUAUUGACGAUAUCCUACUUCACCUCCAGAAGAGAGGUCUCUCAGGGUUCUAUGUCACAUCUGCAAGCCCUUCUGGCUGCUAACCCAUGUCCUUUGUGAAGCUGUGCCAGGCACUGAUUUACCAGAGGUGCAGUAAAAUGCUGCAAUCUACCUUCAAAUUCCUAGAGACAGAAAAUUAAUUCAUAAGCUUUGGUCUGCAGGUGUCAAUGCACAGUCCUGUCUGUCCAGGUGGGAGAGUUCAGUCCUCUCCUUCGGUUGCAUUCAGGGGUUCAAAGACCUGAAUCAGCAUUUUUCAAGCCUGUACACACUUGAAUUGGAACAGUAAGAAAACAACCACAAAACUCGAGUGAAUGUACUGGGGAAAAAUCUUGAAAGAGCAAAGUGGAGAUCCAGCAACUCUGUGUGUCUGAUCAAUUUUUGCUUUUCCAUGUUCUACUGAUACCAUGUUCUAAAAAUUUUUGUAGCACAUUGAGCAAAGACACAGCUGCAGUGUCCAAACCAGGUGAGAUCUGGCAGGUUGGCUUCCCAGAGGUGCACAUACCACUCCACUGUAAUGCCUACUGCACGUCAAAGGCAGAUUUUGUAUUAGCUUUGAGACAAACUGCAAACUCUAAUCCAGCCAUGGAUUUGCUACAGAGAACACAACAAGCUUGUCAAUGGGUAUAGUGACUUGCCUCUUUUCCAGCUCUGGGAAAGGAAAAUAUAACAGUCUAGCACUAAUGUGAGCUCAAUGAUUUAGGAAUUUUGCUGUACUUAGUGGCUCUGCUAAUUGAGUGGAAAGACCAUCUCCUCUCUGCUUCUGCUCCUCCUGUUCUUUCCAAGCCCAAAAGGAGGGUGUAAGAACACAGCCUACCUCCUGUGUGCAGACAAGCAAAAGGGGAGGACAGCAUCCUCCUUUGCUUGUCUCCAACAGCCUGCAUACCAGCAGUAUGGAGCUUACCUUGUCCUUCCCCCUGGCAAACCAAGCAAACCAGCCACUAUUUCUGAGACACAUUCUGCUCACCUAGAUUUAGGGAAUCCAGACAGGACUAAGUAACACAAAAGGAGUGAAAUGGGUCUUAAUUUAAGGGAUCUUCAGCUACACUCAGCCCCAGUUUAUCAAGCUGGGACUUCAUCCCCAUCUUCAUGACAUGCUGUCAUAGGUUAGCAAGCAUAGUCCCGGAAGGGAUGUCCUUGCUAAGGGGUGCUUACAGUUUCCUCUGGGAACUGAUAGAACCUAUCAGCAGCCAGUUUGAAUAUGGACAAUUCUCUAAGCCACUUAAAGUUGUGACCACCUCUGCGAUCCACAUUUAAGAAUAGGCAAACUCCCCCUCCAAGCUCUCUCUCGUUUCCGGCGCUGGGACAGGUGGCUGCGGGGCCCGUGUGGGGGCCAGCGGGCCCGGCCAGACCCUGCUUGGGCCAGGCCGGGCCGGGCCACGGCCAUCCUGGAGCCGAUGGACCUGUUCCAGCCAUGGAACCCCCCCCCUGCCUUGCCGUGGGCAGCCGGAGCGGCUCGGCUCUCCCCCCUCUCCACUGUGAUAAGAAAAAUUCAACAUUCCAGCUGCAAAGCUGCAAGGCCGAGGUGAGAUUAACCCUUUUACUGCUGUGAAGAGCUGAAAACCCUAGGGAAGAGAGAGAGGAGAUGCUUAAAGCUGAAAUUCUGUUGUGAAGCUAUGAUACAUCAGAGUAUCCCGUUGUAAUUCCAUGAAGAUAUGGGGGGUGGAGUGUUCAGCUCGUAAGCAAAAGCACCUGCGCUGAGAUAGGCAGAUGCUGACGCAGCUGUAAUUUCAUGAGAAGUUUGGACAGGGAGAGAUGAACCAGAUGAGGACUUUUGCUCCAAAUGGGAAAGGAGAAAACCUCAGUCCCUAGAGAUGCUCCCAGAGGUAGUCCUAACGAUGAAGAUGAUGAAGACCCUUUGCUCCCAGGGAAGGAGAAGGGCCUCUGUUUUUGUUUCUGAACGGCUCAACCUUAAAAUUGUACCCCAAAAAACUUCAAGAGUGGACCCUUGAACGUGGGAAAACCAAUUGCUAUCUGUGUGUGACCUUGAACAAGCUGCAAGUCGGGGGAAGGGACUCACAUGCAGGCAGAGAGACUCCUCUUCCUAAAUGGACUGAACAAUAUUUGGAAGUGGGCGGCUGUCUCGUUGUGAUACUGUUUUCAUAGCAUGAGCAAGAAGAGAAUUCUCUUUCUAAAUGGACUAAACAAGGUUAUUAUGGUAGUGGUAAACAGACUGAACAUCUUAUGGGUUGUCUUUUCACAUUGUCAGUGGGAGAAGGG